RNAcentral lists this ribosomal RNA (320 nucleotides) under Pseudomonas aeruginosa. Its description in RNAcentral is "bacterial SSU rRNA". It matches the Rfam family "Bacterial small subunit ribosomal RNA", at positions 1 to 319 of the family's 1533-position model. The record is from RNAcentral. Lineage: Bacteria; Pseudomonadati; Pseudomonadota; Gammaproteobacteria; Pseudomonadales; Pseudomonadaceae.
AAAUUGAAGAGUUUGAUCAUGGCUCAGAUUGAACGCUGGCGGCAGGCCUAACACAUGCAAGUCGAACGGUAGCACAGAGAGCUUGCUCUCGGGUGACGAGUGGCGGACGGGUGAGUAAUGUCUGGGAAACUGCCUGAUGGAGGGGGAUAACUACUGGAAACGGUGGCUAAUACCGCAUAACGUCGCAAGACCAAAGAGGGGGACCUUCGGGCCUCUUGCCAUCAGAUGUGCCCAGAUGGGAUUAGCUUGUUGGUGAGGUAACGGCUCACCAAGGCGACGAUCCCUAGCUGGUCUGAGAGGAUGACCAGCCACACUGGAAC